UAUGUCGUUAAUUGUCAAGGACUCUCGUAAGCACUUAGUUUUAGAGGAAGGAAAAUAAAUCAAAUAAAGACUUCUGCCGCAGUUCUUGGAUGGAAUGGUCCUAAUAAUAUCCGUGAUUCAAGGAUUGAAGGCAUAUGCGUUUAUGGAUUUUUACAGCUUAAAAGAAUAAAUUUAAUAUCAGAACUUUAUAUUUCAGCUGUUGCGGGUCAGUAUUACCUGACAAAACAUUUAUGAUCUUUAUUGCAUACAAUAACAACGGUCUUGUUUUGGGUCAGCAUUGCCUGCCAAAACAUUUUAUGAUUUUUAUUUCUUAUAAUUACAACUGUUUUGUUUUGGGCCAGCAUUGCCUGCCAAAACAUUUUAUGAUUUUUAUUUCUUAUAAUUACAACUGUCUUGUUUUGGGCCAGCAUUGCCUGCCAAAACAUUUUAUGAUUUUUAUUUCUUAUAAUUACAACUGUCUUGUUUUGGGUCAGCAUUGCCUGCCAAAAUAUUUUAUGAUUUUUAUUUCUUAUAAUUACAACUGUCUUGUUUUGGGCCAGCAUUGCCUGCCAAAACAUUUUAUGAUUUUUAUUUCUUAUAAUUACAACUGUCUUGUUUUGGGUCAGCAUUGCCUGCCAAAACAUUUUAUGAUUUUUAUUUCUUAUAAUUACAACUGUCUUGUUUUGGGUCAGCAUUGCCUGCAAAACGGUUAUUAUCUUUAUUUCACACAAUUUUGCCGUAUCUUGUUUUGGGUCAGUAUUGCCUGCUAAAACGUUUAGGAUCUUUAUUUCAUACGAUUGUGUCGUUAUUGCCGUCAUCCUGCCGGUGCUGUCUUUACACAUUGUUCAGACUGUCAAUGCGAUCAUUCGAUAGGCUACCUUUAAAUUGUGUUUUAAUUUUAUGGCCUGUUUGUAUACAUGCAUUUUUCGUAAAUCAUGAUAUGGUUUUUAAUGUUGCCUAUCUAAUUCAUAUUAAUUAUUCAAAUUAUAUAUAUAAAAAGACUUGAUGGUUUAUUCCAUUGUUGUACUAAAUGCUAUGGUCUUUAGAGGUAAAUCCAUCACAAACCAAAGUUUUAUAUUUAACUAAACUGGUUAUUAUUUACUAAAUUGUUUUUUUUUUUCUUUCUUUGCUUUUGGCAUGUUUGGUUUAAUGUUUAACGUAUGUGUCAAAAGCUAUAAAUAUUCUCUCGGUUAAACUUACAUCUUUUAACUUUCAUCGCAAUUAAGGUACAGUUUAAUUAUAUGAAACAAUAUUAUAUUUUUCAUUUUACAACUUUAUUUACUACCAUACAAUAUAAACCUUUUAAAUGCAUUACGAAAA
Molecule: long non-coding RNA, 1299 nt
Filed under: Mytilus galloprovincialis (Mediterranean mussel)
Lineage: Eukaryota; Metazoa; Mollusca; Bivalvia; Mytilida; Mytilidae
Source: RNAcentral